RNAcentral lists this unclassified non-coding RNA (248 nucleotides) under Glomeraceae sp. RNAcentral describes it as "partial contains 5.8S ribosomal RNA and internal transcribed spacer 2". The stretch from base 1 to 71 matches the Rfam family "5.8S ribosomal RNA", at positions 84 to 154 of the family's 154-position model. Lineage: Eukaryota; Fungi; Glomeromycota; Glomeromycetes; Glomerales; Glomeraceae. The record is from RNAcentral.
GUGAAUCAUCGAAUUUUUGAACGCAAAUUGCACUCUCUGGUAUUCCGGAGAGUAUGCGUGUUUAAGGGUCAGUUAAAAUAAAAAUCGGUGUGGUUGCUGCCUGUCGUGGUGACGCACCGGAUGUGGGUCGUCUUGCCUUCGGUUAAGAGAACUAAAAUGUUGCAUGAUUUUUUGGAACGAAUUUAAAUGAUUUUAGGUACGGUUGCGAUAUGGAAUACUGGGUGUGGGCAGCGUCAUGAUCAGCGCAU